This 92-nucleotide transfer RNA is filed under the name Perca fluviatilis (European perch). It matches the Rfam family "tRNA". Rfam says of the family: Transfer RNA (tRNA) molecules are approximately 80 nucleotides in length. Their secondary structure includes four short double-helical elements and three loops (D, anti-codon, and T loops). Lineage: Eukaryota; Metazoa; Chordata; Actinopteri; Perciformes; Percidae. The record is from Rfam by way of RNAcentral.
GGCUCUGUGGUGCUACAUACAGCGCAUUGGACUUCUAGGUAAUCUCAAAAGAAGUGAUUCAAAGAUUGUGGGUUUGAGUCCCACCAGAGUCG